This 250-nucleotide ribosomal RNA is filed under the name uncultured bacterium. RNAcentral's name for it is "partial 16S ribosomal RNA". It matches the Rfam family "Bacterial small subunit ribosomal RNA", at positions 1251 to 1500 of the family's 1533-position model. The record is from RNAcentral.
AAAACAAGCGAUGUGGAGCAAACCCCUAAAAAUGGUCUCAGUUCAGAUUGCAGGCUGCAACCCGCCUGCAUGAAGUCGGAAUUGCUAGUAAUCGCGGAUCAGCAUGCCGCGGUGAAUACGUUCCCGGGCCUUGUACACACCGCCCGUCACACCAUGGGAGCCGGUAAUACCCGAAGUCAGUAGUCCCAACCUCGUGAGGACGCUGCCGAAGGUAGGAUUGGCGACUGGGGUGAAGUCGUAACAAGGUAUC